Molecule: ribosomal RNA, 256 nt
Filed under: uncultured bacterium
Lineage: Bacteria
Description: partial 16S ribosomal RNA
Rfam family: Bacterial small subunit ribosomal RNA
Source: RNAcentral
CCGGCACGGGUGCGUAACGCGUAUGCAACCUACCAUCAACAGGGGGAUAACACUGAGAAAUUGGUACUAAUACCCCAUAAUAUCUCAUGCGGCAUCGCAUGGGGUUGAAAACUCCGGUGGUUGAUGAUGGGCAUGCGUUGUAUUAGCUGGUUGGUGAGGUAACGGCUCACCAAGGCGACGAUACAUAGGGGGACUGAGAGGUUAACCCCCCACAUUGGUACUGAGACACGGACCAAACUCCUACGGAAGGCAGCAG